UGGGGAAUUUUGCACAAUGGAGGAAACCCUGAUGCAGCGACGCCGCGUGAUUUAGAAGGCCUUCGGGUUGUAAAAAUCUUUUCUAUGGGAAGAAAAUGACAGUACCAUAGGAAUAAGGACCGGCUAAUUACGUGCCAGCAGCCGCGGUAAUACGUAAGGUCCGAGCGUUGUCCGGAAUCAUUGGGCGUAAAGGGUACGUAGGCGGGUAAGCAAGUUAGAAGUGAAAUCCUAUAGCUCAACUAUAGUAAGCUUUUAAAACUGCUCAUCUUGAGGUAUGGAAGGGAAAGUGGAAUUCCUAGUGUAGCGGUGAAAUGCGCAGAUAUUAGGAGGAAUACCGGUGGCGAAGGCGACUUUCUGGCCAUAACCUGACGCUGAGGUACGAAAGCGUGGGUAGCAAACAGG
Molecule: ribosomal RNA, 402 nt
Filed under: bacterium
Lineage: Bacteria
Description: partial 16S ribosomal RNA
Rfam family: Bacterial small subunit ribosomal RNA
Source: RNAcentral